This 253-nucleotide ribosomal RNA is filed under the name uncultured bacterium. RNAcentral's name for it is "partial 16S ribosomal RNA". It matches the Rfam family "Bacterial small subunit ribosomal RNA", at positions 524 to 776 of the family's 1533-position model. The record is from RNAcentral.
UACAGAGGGUGCGAGCGUUGUCCGGAAUCACUGGGCGUAAAGGGCGCGUAGGUGGCGCCGCAAGUCCAUGGUGAAAGCUCGAUGCUCAACAUCGAGUCGGCCACGGAGACUGCGGGGCUCGAGCACUGUAGGGGCAGAUGGAAUUCCGGGUGUAGCGGUGGAAUGCGUAGAGAUCCGGAAGAACACCGGUGGCGAAGGCGGUCUGCUGGGCAGUUGCUGACACUGAGGCACGAAGGUCAGGGGAGCAAACGGG